RNAcentral lists this ribosomal RNA (292 nucleotides) under Giardia duodenalis. Its description in RNAcentral is "Giardia intestinalis partial small subunit ribosomal RNA". It matches the Rfam family "Eukaryotic small subunit ribosomal RNA", at positions 1 to 381 of the family's 1831-position model. The record is from RNAcentral. Lineage: Eukaryota; Fornicata; Diplomonadida; Hexamitidae.
CAUCCGGUCGAUCCUGCCGGAAUCCGACGCUCUCCCCAAGGACACAAGCCAUGCAUGCCCGCGCACCCGGGAGGCGGCGGACGGCUCAGGACAACGGUUGCACCCCCCGCGGCGGUCCCUGCUAGCUGGACACCGCUGGCAACCCGGCGCCAAGACGUGCGCGCAAGGGCGGGCGCCCGCGGGCGAGCAGCGUGACGCAGCGACGGCCCGCCCGGGCUUCCGGGGCAUCACCCGGUCGGCGCGGUCGCGGCGCGCCGAGGGCCCGACGCCUGGCGGAGAAUCAGGGUUCGAC